This 301-nucleotide ribosomal RNA is filed under the name uncultured bacterium. RNAcentral's name for it is "partial 16S ribosomal RNA". It matches the Rfam family "Bacterial small subunit ribosomal RNA", at positions 509 to 807 of the family's 1533-position model. The record is from RNAcentral.
CAGCCGCCGCGGUAAUACAGAGGGUGCGAGCGUUAAUCGGAUUUACUGGGCGUAAAGCGUGCGUAGGCGGCUUCUUAAGUCGGAUGUGAAAUCCCUGAGCUUAACUUAGGAAUUGCAUUCGAUACUGGGAAGCUAGAGUAUGGGAGAGGAUGGUAGAAUUCCAGGUGUAGCGGUGAAAUGCGUAGAGAUCUGGAGGAAUACCGAUGGCGAAGGCAGCCAUCUGGCCUAAUACUGACGCUGAGGUACGAAAGCAUGGGGAGCAAACAGGAUUAGAUACCCCCGUAGUCACUGUCUCUUAUAC